UGCCAGCCGCCGCGGUAAUACGGAGGGCACGAGCGUUGUUCGGAAUUAUUGGGCGUAAAGCGCAUGCAGGCGGCUUGGCAAGUCGGAUGUGAAAGCCCGGGGCUCAACCCCGGAAUUGCACUCGAAACUGCCUGGCUAGAGUCUCGGAGAGGAGGGCGGAAUUCCCGGUGUAGAGGUGAAAUUCGUAGAUAUCGGGAGGAACACCAGUGGCGAAGGCGGCCCUCUGGACGAUGACUGACGCUCAGAUGCGAAAGCGUGGGGAGCAAACAGGAUUAGAUA
This 279-nucleotide ribosomal RNA is filed under the name uncultured bacterium. RNAcentral's name for it is "partial 16S ribosomal RNA". It matches the Rfam family "Bacterial small subunit ribosomal RNA", at positions 506 to 784 of the family's 1533-position model. The record is from RNAcentral.